RNAcentral lists this long non-coding RNA (439 nucleotides) under Ananas comosus (pineapple). RNAcentral's name for it is "long non-coding RNA (ACOM_LNC013221)". Lineage: Eukaryota; Viridiplantae; Streptophyta; Magnoliopsida; Poales; Bromeliaceae. The record is from RNAcentral.
UAGUGUUAUGAUGGGUAAUACCAGUAGUUGUAAGAUAAUCGGUAUCGGAACAGUAAAAAAAAAAAAAAAUGUUUGAUAGUGUGGUGCGGAUGUUAACAGAUAUGAGACAUAUUUUGGGUCUCAGGUUGAAUCUUAUAUCACCUCAUACUCUUAACAUAUUGAUUGUUCUGGUAUCAUUUUAGAUAGAGUCGUCAAGGUGAAAAGAGUGCUAUGAUGGUCAUGUUGGAAGAGAAUAAAGAGAAUCUGUACAAGUUUAUCAUUGAGCUAGUAACAGCGAAUAAGUCUAGGCAUUCUCUAGAAUUUGCUAACCUGCAUGAUUGUUAAUGUCGGGAUGUCUUAGGGAGUGGGCGAUAAGAUGAGAGAGAGUGAUGAAGUAAAAAAAAAGAACAGAGUGUAGAAUAUUAAAGAUAUGGCUUCUUUUUUUAUUGAUUUAAUUCAU